RNAcentral lists this long non-coding RNA (249 nucleotides) under Capsicum annuum. Its description in RNAcentral is "long non-coding RNA (CANN_LNC005298)". Lineage: Eukaryota; Viridiplantae; Streptophyta; Magnoliopsida; Solanales; Solanaceae. The record is from RNAcentral.
UCUUCAUUUUGUUCUUCUUCUAUUGUUGUCAUGCUGCUAAAUUCGUCUUUUAUAACUAUUUCAUAUUUUUUUUAAUAAUUCUAUAGGUGUUAAUUUAGUUGUAGUUAUUGAUGAUGUUUUUUCUGUAGGUUUGUCAGUUCUUAAUACUCUUUUACUAUUUUCAGUUAGAUUUGAAAAUCAUAAUUUCACUGUUCCUAUUAGUGUUCUUUCUAUAUAUUCUGGUGCAUCUGUUACAUUUAUAUUAUUAUC